Long non-coding RNA from Cydia strobilella, 557 nucleotides. RefSeq lists it as uncharacterized. The transcript has 2 exons. The record is from RefSeq and is a predicted model, not a curated record. Lineage: Eukaryota; Metazoa; Arthropoda; Insecta; Lepidoptera; Tortricidae.
ACAGCCACUUUUCUCUGAAACUAUAAGAACUAUACUGUUGAAACUUGGUAAGUACAUGUAUUCUGUGAACCGCAUUAAGAUUUAACACAAAAAUAGAAAAAAAACAAUAAAUUUUGGGGGUUCCCCAUACUUGGAACUGAAACUCAAAAACAAUUUUUUCAUCAAACCCAUACGUGUCAGGGAUCUAUGGAUAGGUCUUGAAAAAUGAUAUUGAGGUUUCUAAUCAUUUUUUUCUAAACUGAGUAGGUUGCGCGAGAGACACUUCCAAAGUGGUAAAAUGGUUGUCCCCCCCUGUAACUUCUAAAAUAAGAGAAUGAUAAAACUGAAAAAAAUAUAUGAUGGACAUUACCAUGCAAACUUCCACCGAAAAUUGGUUUGAACGAGAUCUAGUAAGUAGUUUUUUUUAAUACAAAAAAAAAAAACAAUAAAUUUUGGGUUUUUUCGUCAAACUCAUACGUGUGGGGUAUCUAUGGAUAGGUCUUCAAAAAUGAUAUUGAGGUUUCUAAUAUCAUUUUUUUCUAAACUGAAUAGUUUGCGCGAGAGACACUUCCAAAGUG